CCCGGCGAGGGGAGUGAAAAAGAACCUGAAACCGUGUACGUACAAGCAGUGGGAGCCUCUUAAUGGGGUGACUGCGUACCUUUUGUAUAAUGGGUCAGCGACUUAUAUUCUGUAGCAAGGUUAACCGAAUAGGGGAGCCGAAGGGAAACCGAGUCUUAACUGGGCGUUAAGUUGCAGGGUAUAGACCCGAAACCCGGUGAUCUAGCCAUGGGCAGGUUGAAGGUUGGGUAACACUAACUGGAGGACCGAACCGACUAAUGUUGAAAAAUUAGCGGAUGACUUGUGGCUGGGGGUGAAAGGCCAAUCAAACCGGGAGAUAGCUGGUUCUCCCCGAAAGCUAUUUAGGUAGCGCCUCGUGAAUUCAUCUCCGGGGGUAGAGCACUGUUUCGGCAAGGGGGUCAUCCCGACUUACCAACCCGAUGCAAACUGCGAAUACCGGAGAAUGUUAUCACGGGAGACACACGGCGGGUGCUAACGUCCGUCGUGAAGAGGGAAACAACCCAGACCGCCAGCUAAGGUCCCAAAGUCAUGGUUAAGUGGGAAACGAUGUGGGAAGGCCCAGACAGCCAGGAUGUUGGCUUAGAAGCAGCCAUCAUUUAAAGAAAGCGUAAUAGCUCACUGGUCGAGUCGGCCUGCGCGGAAGAUGUAACGGGGCUAAACCAUG
Molecule: ribosomal RNA, 664 nt
Filed under: Escherichia coli
Lineage: Bacteria; Pseudomonadati; Pseudomonadota; Gammaproteobacteria; Enterobacterales; Enterobacteriaceae
Description: partial 23S ribosomal RNA
Rfam family: Bacterial large subunit ribosomal RNA
Source: RNAcentral